CGCGGCCUAUCAGCUUGUUGGUGAGGUUACGGCUCACCAAGGCGACGACGGGUAGCCGGCCUGAGAGGGUGACCGGCCACACUGGGACUGAGAUACGGCCCAGACUCCUACGGGAGGCAGCAGUGGGGAAUAUUGCACAAUGGGCGCAAGCCUGAUGCAGCGACGCCGCGUGAGGGAUGACGGCCUUCGGGUUGUAAACCUCUUUCGCCAGGGACGAAGCGCAAGUGACGGUACCUGGAGAAGAAGGACCGGCCAACUACGUGCCAGCAGCCGCGGUAAUACGUAGGGUCCGAGCGUUGUCCGGAAUUACUGGGCGUAAAGAGCUCGUAGGUGGUUUGUCGCGUUGUUCGUGAAAACUCACAGCUCAACUGUGGGCGUGCGGGCGAUACGGGCAGACUAGAGUACUGCAGGGGAGACUGGAAUUCCUGGUGUAGCGGUGGAAUGCGCAGAUAUCAGGAGGAACACCGGUGGCGAAGGCGGGUCUCUGGGCAGUAACUGACGCUGAGGAGCGAAAGCGUGGGGAGCGAACAGGAUUAGAUACCCUGGUAGUCCACGCCGUAAACGGUGGGUACUAGGUGUGGGUUUCCUUCCUUGGGAUCCGUGCCGUAGCUAACGCAUUAAGUACCCCGCCUGGGGAGUACGG
RNAcentral lists this ribosomal RNA (643 nucleotides) under uncultured Actinomycetes bacterium. RNAcentral describes it as "bacterial SSU rRNA". It matches the Rfam family "Bacterial small subunit ribosomal RNA", at positions 232 to 885 of the family's 1533-position model. The record is from RNAcentral. Lineage: Bacteria; Bacillati; Actinomycetota; Actinomycetes.